This 844-nucleotide long non-coding RNA is filed under the name Homo sapiens (human). RNAcentral describes it as "HSALNT0066919". Lineage: Eukaryota; Metazoa; Chordata; Mammalia; Primates; Hominidae. The record is from RNAcentral.
GGCCUCCUUGACUUCUGAAAAGACCCAAUAUUUACCAGGGACUGUCUGCGUGGGGGCUUGUUUUCCAGUUGAAAUUAUUUCUAAAGGGGUGAAAAAGGCUUAUCCCCUCUACCGUGGGUCUCCAGGUGACUAUGGAAGACAGGAACAAGACUCUCCACAGGCCGGACGGCAGUAAUGUCCCUGGGCUGCCAGGGAGAGGGAGCCGAGGUGGAGAGUGUGAGAGGGCUUCGUGACCCACGCUGUGCUGUUGCGUUGGGGGGAUUGGCGGUACUGCCUGUUUAGGCCAUUUUGCCAUGGGAUAGAAGUUCCUCGCACGAGCUCCAAUACUGUCCACACCCCGUACCAUUCCUUCUACCCCGAGGCUGAUGCGAUUCCUCUACGAGAACCAGCAGACACAGAAGCCAGAGAAACCCACCAUUCCCUUAGGUGACUGCUCUGUCUUUCUGGGUUCAUUUGGGGAUAGUAGGGACGCCUUGAACAAGGGCCCCCUGAACAUCGCUUUGGGUGGGGACAGUCAUUGUUCCUUUUCAGGCUGUGUUUCUGCUGCAGCACACACACGGGGCAGCUUGCACGCCCAAUUUCCUGUCCCUCCUUUCCUUCUCAGGCUGAUGCCCAGACCAGUCCUUUCUGACCAUCAUCAAAUACCUCUUCAUCCUGAUUGAGUGGUGGUGCUGAGCAUUGUCCCCAAAGAGCCACUUGUGCUGUGGCCUUCUCCUGGAGGCAUAUUCUGUCCUCUUCUCUCUGCCUGCGGCCCCCAUCUCCUGAGCCCAGCGAGCUCAGUGCUAGUUCACUGUUUGCUCCUCCUUGCUGCAGACACAGAAGAUUUGGGAGCGUUCCUGCCGAG